Hylaeus volcanicus is the source of this 2006-nucleotide RNA transcript. It is a transcript of the gene named N-alpha-acetyltransferase 40-like, with no coding region annotated. Lineage: Eukaryota; Metazoa; Arthropoda; Insecta; Hymenoptera; Colletidae. The record is from RefSeq and is a predicted model, not a curated record. The transcript is spliced from 5 exons.
UGAACGUACAAAAAGAAAAAGUACAUUUUUUCGACAGCAUUCCCUUCCACUCGAGUUGAUCACAUUUUUAAACAAACAUGAGUUAAACGUACGACCACAUUAGAUUAGGGCAAUUGUUUUUAUCCACGUUUGUAAAGGAAAUAUUUUAGAUAAUUCACGACUUUCUACAUGCUUAGAGUUAUGUUCUAAUAACAUGAAAGAAAUUUAUGACGCAGCCAAUUUCCAAUCCGUGACGUCCAACAUCAAGGGAUGGUCAAUGGACGGAAAAAAAAAAGAACUAUGCCAUCGUCAUGGUGGGUGAUUCACUUGAAUGAUUGUAAAAAUACAGCUUCAUUUUACUUUUGUCUAGCCUUUAUUUUUCUUCUAUUAAAAAAAAAUACUAAUUCAUUUGUUCAAGGUUUUCUACAUUUUCGUUUUGAGAAGCAAAAUAUACCUAUCUUAUAUUUGUACGAUAUACAAUUUGAUAAAUCUCUUCAAGCACAAGGUUAAUUGUUAUAAUCUUCAUUGUUUUCAUCCUUCACAUAAUAUUGUAGGAUUAGGACGAAUGUUUAUGCUAUAUUUAGAGAAAAUAGCUAAGGAGAAAAAACUUCAAAAAAUUAUCUGUACAGUUCAAACAAAUAAUGAAAAAGCAGUUAACUUUUACAAAAACAUUUGCGGAUAUACUGUAGAUCCUUCUUCUCCAGUGUCACUGGACAAUUCAAGUACUCGCGGUUAUGAAAUCUUAAGUAAAACGGUUCAUUAUUAAUUUCAAAAACCAAAUAGUUGAUUAAGGUUACUUCAUCAUUUGCUCAUAAAAAUAUUUACUGAGGAGAAAAAGACUUAUUUCAAAACACGCAAUACAAAAACACGUUUCUCUAUAAAACGUUUAAAACAUUUGCAGAAGUCUUUUUUCGAGAAAUCCUUUGAGUUACAUCAGAUUCAAGCGCGUCAAGACUUCGAUGUUUUUUACUUUCCAUAUAUCCUUCAAGUUGCUUCCAUUCUCUCUCGACUUGACGACGCACAGCGCGAGCGGACGGAACAUGCGUGUUAUUUCUUAAAAAAAAAAAAUUAAACGAAAGGAUUAUUGUUGAUUAUAAACUCUUACUUAUUUUUUGUUGAGUGUGAAGAAAAGGAAGACUAAAAAGGCAUAAAUUUUUUUCAAAAAAAUCAGUAGGAAAAUUCAAAAAGAACAUACCUUUUUUUCAUGUGCAAAAUUGGUUUCUUCUUUGGGGACCUGGUGCUUUUUUUUUACAUCGGAAUGAACGUGUGGAUUUGGAUAACAUUCAUCAUAAUAAUCAAUACGAGGUUGCAGCAUUUUUUGUACAAGCCUAGCUUCUUUUUGUUCAGAGGAAGUCGAGGCUUCACGAGCUUGAGUCGUUUUCAUUUGCUCUGAUAAUUUAUUGGCAGGUAAAGCUUCAAAAUAUGAUAAAGGCGCUGUUGUUAAUUGUUUCUGUUCCAAAGAAGAAGAUUCAAAUAACUCUUGUACGUUUUGGAAAGUUCCGACAUUAGCAAAAAUAUCCUCAUCUUCCGUUAUAAUUUGAGUUUCGUUUUCAGCAAGUGUACUGACUAAAGUUUCCAGAGUGCGUGACGAAUUCGGAACAAGAUAUUUUAUAAGGUGUGGCUGCAAAGGAAUCACGUUAUAAUGUAAAGAACUUUGAGACGUUGCUCCGUGUAUAAUGGAAAAAGGGAUACCAGGGGGAUCAUUGGUUAAAUUGAAUUGAUAGAAUAAUGUUCUGGAAGCAAAAACGUUGUUAUUGCCCUUAAACCGAGAACCGUGGUAUAGAACGGAAUCAAGACGUUGUAAUUUUUUUUCAAACGCAAUAUGAUGAGAAUGAAGUCCAUAUGUUAAAGAAUGAAGAAUUUGUUUACUCUGACCUGAAAAAGAUGUCUUUUUUUCUUCUUCUUUUUUUUGAAUAUCCAUUGUAGCUUUUUUUAAUAAAACAUAAUCUAGACCUUUAACUAAAUGUGUGUGCUCAAUAUCACCGCCAAGAUAUUGGGAUUCUUGUGGAGUACAAUUUUUUUGACGA